RNAcentral lists this transfer RNA (92 nucleotides) under Colletotrichum navitas. Its description in RNAcentral is "tRNA-Pro". The record is from RNAcentral. Lineage: Eukaryota; Fungi; Ascomycota; Sordariomycetes; Glomerellales; Glomerellaceae.
GCCCUGGUGGUCUAGCGGUAUGAUUCUUCCUUAGGGUUGUUGAAUAUUCAUCAGCUUGGAAGAGGUCCCAGGUUCGAUCCCUGGCCAGGGCC